This is a small nuclear RNA of Chionomys nivalis (European snow vole), 107 nucleotides long. Lineage: Eukaryota; Metazoa; Chordata; Mammalia; Rodentia; Cricetidae. The record is from RefSeq and is a predicted model, not a curated record.
AUGCUAGUUUUGGUAGCAUGUAUACUAAAACUGAAAAAGUACAGAGAAGAUUAGAAUGACUCUUGCACAAGGAGGACACUCGAAUUUUUGAAGCAUUCCAUAUUUUU